UACGGAGGAUGCAAGCGUUAUCCGGAAUUAUUGGGCGUAAAGCGUCCGCAGGUGGCACUUCAAGUCUGUCGUCAAAGACCGGGGCUUAACCCUGGAAAGGCGAUGGAAACUGAAAGGCUAGAGAGAGGUAGGGGUAGAGGGAAUUCCCAGUGUAGCGGUGAAAUGCGUAGAUAUCUGGAGGAACACCGGUGGCGAAGGCGGCAUCCUGGACCAAUUCUGACGCUGAGGAGCGAAAGCCAGGGGAGCAAACGGG
Molecule: ribosomal RNA, 253 nt
Filed under: uncultured bacterium
Lineage: Bacteria
Description: partial 16S ribosomal RNA
Rfam family: Bacterial small subunit ribosomal RNA
Source: RNAcentral